UCUCCGUUGGUGAACCAGCGGAGGGAUCAUUACAGGACUCGCAAGACUCCUACAACCCUGUGAACUUAACUUUAAGCACGUUGCUUCGGCGGGUGUCUCGGAGGGGGUUCUCCCUCCCCGAGACGCUAAACCCGCCGGCAGUCUGCUAUACUCUGUCUCUUUUCGUUGGCAUCUCGAGGACAAUCAAACAAGUUAAAACUUUCAACAACGGAUCUCUUGGUUCUG
This 225-nucleotide unclassified non-coding RNA is filed under the name plant metagenome. Its description in RNAcentral is "partial contains small subunit ribosomal RNA, internal transcribed spacer 1, and 5.8S ribosomal RNA". The record is from RNAcentral.